Molecule: ribosomal RNA, 257 nt
Filed under: uncultured prokaryote
Description: partial 16S ribosomal RNA
Rfam family: Bacterial small subunit ribosomal RNA
Source: RNAcentral
AAUACAGAGGGUGCAAGCGUUAAUCGGAAUUACUGGGCGUAAAGCGUGCGUAGUCGGUUAUUUAAGUCGGGCGUGAAAGCCCCGGGCUCAACCUGGGAAUUGCGUUCGAUACUGGAUAGCUAGAGUUCGGCAGAGGGAAGCGGAAUUUCGGGUGUAGCGGUGAAAUGCGUAGAUAUCCGAAGGAACAUCAGUGGCGAAAGCGGCUUCCUGGACCAGAACUGACGAUCAGGCACGAAAGCGUGGGGGGGCAAACAGGA